GUGCAGCAGUCGAGAAUUUUUCUCAAUGGGGGCAACCCUGAAGGAGCGACGCCGCGUGGAGGAUGAAGGCUUUCGGGUUGUAAACUCCUGUCAUUUGGGAACAAGUUGGACGCAGUAACUACGCGUCCAUUGAUAGUACCAGAAGAGGAAGGGACGGCUAACUCUGUGCCAGCAGCCGCGGUAAUACAGAGGUCCCAAGCGUUGUUCGGAUUCAUUGGGCGUAAAGGGUGCGUAGGUGGCGCCGUAAGUGGGGUGUGAAAUUUCGGAGCUUAACUCCGAAACUGCAUUCCAUACUGCGGUGCUUGAGGACUGGAGAGGAGACUGGAAUUCAUGGUGUAGCAGUGAAAUGCGUAGAGAUCAUGAGGAAGACCAGUGGCGAAGGCGGGUCUCUGGACAGUUCCUGACACUGAGGCACGAAGGCCAGGGGAGCAAACGGGAUUAGAUACCCCUGUAGU
RNAcentral lists this ribosomal RNA (455 nucleotides) under uncultured organism. RNAcentral's name for it is "bacterial SSU rRNA". It matches the Rfam family "Bacterial small subunit ribosomal RNA", at positions 346 to 794 of the family's 1533-position model. The record is from RNAcentral.